RNAcentral lists this ribosomal RNA (947 nucleotides) under uncultured bacterium. Its description in RNAcentral is "bacterial SSU rRNA". It matches the Rfam family "Bacterial small subunit ribosomal RNA", at positions 523 to 1482 of the family's 1533-position model. The record is from RNAcentral.
AUACGGAAGGUCCGGGCGUUAUCCGGAUUUAUUUGGUUCAAAGGGAGCGUAGGCCGGAGAUUAAGCGUGUUGUGAAAUGUAGACGCUCAACGUCUGCACUGCAGCGCGAACUGGUUUCCUUGAGUACGCACAAAGUGGGCGGAAUUCGUGGUGUAGCGGUGAAAUGCUUAGAUAUCACGAAGAACUCCGAUUGCGAAGGCAGCUCACUGGAGCGCAACUGACGCUGAAGCUCGAAAGUGCGGGUAUCGAACAGGAUUAGAUACCCUGGUAGUCCGCACGGUAAACGAUGGAUGCCCGCUGUUGGUCUGAAUAGGUCAGCGGCCAAGCGAAAGCAUUAAGCAUCCCACCUGGGGAGUACGCCGGCAACGGUGAAACUCAAAGGAAUUGACGGGGGCCCGCACAAGCGGAGGAACAUGUGGUUUAAUUCGAUGAUACGCGAGGAACCUUACCCGGGCUUGAAUUGCAGAGGAAGGAUUUGGAGACAAUGACGCCCUUCGGGGCCUCUGUGAAGGUGCUGCAUGGUUGUCGUCAGCUCGUGCCGUGAGGUGUCGGCUUAAGUGCCAUAACGAGCGCAACCCCUCUCCUUAGUUGCCAUCAGGUUAAGCUGGGCACUCUGGGGACACUGCCACCGUAAGGUGUGAGGAAGGUGGGGAUGACGUCAAAUCAGCACGGCCCUUACGUCCGGGGCUACACACGUGUUACAAUGGCAGGUACAGAGAGACGGUCCCUUGCAAAACGGAUCAAAUCCUUAAAGCCUGUCUCAGUUCGGACUGGGGUCUGCAACCCGACCCCACGAAGCUGGAUUCGCUAGUAAUCGCGCAUCAGCCAUGGCGCGGUGAAUACGUUCCCGGGCCUUGUACACACCGCCCGUCAAGCCAUGAAAGCCGGGGGCGCCUAAAGUCCGUGACCGUAAGGAGCGGCCUAGGGCGAAACUGGURAUUGGGGCU